Molecule: ribosomal RNA, 179 nt
Filed under: uncultured bacterium
Lineage: Bacteria
Description: partial 16S ribosomal RNA
Rfam family: Bacterial small subunit ribosomal RNA
Source: RNAcentral
GAAGCUGGAAUCGCUAGUAAUCGCAGGUCAGCAUACUGCGGUGAAUACGUUCCCGGGUCUUGUACACACCGCCCGUCACACCAUGGGAGCCGGAAAUGCCCGAAGCCAGUGACCCAACCUUAGGGAGGGAGCUGUCGAAGGUGGAGCCGGUAACUGGGGUGAAGUCGUAACAAGGUAAC